GUGUCAGCAGCCGCGGUAAUACGUAGGGUGCGAGCGUUGUCCGGAAUUACUGGGCGUAAAGGGCUCGUAGGUGGUUUGUCGCGUCGUCUGUGAAAUUCCGGGGCUUAACUCCGGGCGUGCAGGCGAUACGGGCAUAACUUGAGUACUGUAGGGGUAACUGGAAUUCCUGGUGUAGCGGUGAAAUGCGCAGAUAUCAGGAGGAACACCGAUGGCGAAGGCAGGUUACUGGGCAGUUACUGACGCUGAGGAGCGAAAGCAUGGGUAGCGAACAGGAUUAGAUACCCUGGUAGUCCAUGCCGUAAACGGUGGGCGCUAGGUGUGAGGGUCUUUUCACGACUUUCGUGCCGUAGCUAACGCAUUAAGCGCCCCGCCUGGGGAGUACGGCCGCAAGGCUAAA
RNAcentral lists this ribosomal RNA (397 nucleotides) under uncultured bacterium. RNAcentral's name for it is "bacterial SSU rRNA". It matches the Rfam family "Bacterial small subunit ribosomal RNA", at positions 505 to 898 of the family's 1533-position model. The record is from RNAcentral.